CAUGACCACACGCACGGGCUCGCCUCCUCUCCCUCUCGCCCACGCAAUCCUCGCCGCCGCCACCACCCACGCCAGCCGCUUCCGGCGAGCUCCGGCGCCGCGCAGCACGCCCCUGAGCUCCCCAUCGUCUGCGCUUCCCUCCCCUCCGGCUAGAUUCUCCGCUCCCAGCGUCUACCGCCUGCUCGCAACCCCACCCCCGUGGCUAGGGUUUCGGGUAGGGCUUCGCCGGUGUAUCUCCGGCGGCCCCAGAUGGAGUAGGCCAUGGGAUUUCCCCAUCCACCAUGGUCGCCGCCGUCAAGGGCAGGAAGAAACCCUAGCUAGCAGCACCUCCUCACCUCGAAUGAUGCCUCUGCUGCACCAAGAUAGGGCAAGCAACCCCCAUCUGCUCUCUAUCUCUCCCAUUUGUACAAGUCCAUUUUUUGAACAAAAUUCUGCUACUACGCCAAAUAGUCCAUGAACAGAUCUAUUUUUUAUUUGUGAAUUGAUAUACUUCCAAACACAAAUAGUGUAUAUAUGUGCCAUUUUCAUUUUUGUUCCCUUCUCAUUUUUGUGCUUUUGUUUGUAAGCUCAUAAAAUAGUUACAGAAAAAAUGCCAUGUAAGUUCUUAGCAUGCGAGUGGACUAUGAUGGGAAGGGAGGAGGCCUGCGCCAAGGAGGAAGAGUAGCAGGGCAAAGGAGAGAUGCAACAUGGGAAAGAAGGGGUGGACUGGUUGGCGCCCCAUCAUGGGUAAGACAACAGGUGGAGACGUGGAGUGGCUGGUGUUGGGUGCAGGAGAGGAUGAUUGGGAAUUUAGGACAUAGGGAAAAUGAUAGAGGACAGGGCUCCAUUGCUUAGCUGCUAUUGUUUGCUGCUACUGAUCUCAAUAGAAAAAAUGGGGAUGCACUUAGUAUAUCCUAAAUGGAAUAAAGCUUGUGAUGAUAGCUUUUGUUGAUAGCAUGUCUCCUUUCCAGCAUUAUGUCGGUUUGUUCGAAAAUAAAAUUGGGCUUCCUUUAUUAGCACAUGAGUUCAUGAUUUUGAGAAGUUGUCCUGCAGAUUUAGGGGAGUAGGGUUAUGCUUUUGACGGUUCAGAUUGUGGUCUUGUUUUGAUUUAAAUUUGACGUGUUCUCAGGGUUUGGUAUAUGGAGUCAAUUUGUUUGAGGUUUACAUGCAGAGAUUUAUGGAGGUGGAGUAUUUGACUGGUAGGUCUCACUCAGUGCAGGUGUAGGUUGCAAUCUGAUUGUAUGAAUUGAUGUAGCAAGGAGCUGCAAGGGCAAGUCGAAGAUGAGUGUGGUUCGGUUCAAUUUAGGCAAUGCAUUCUGGUCAUGACAGCUUGGCAACAACGUGGUUCUCAGUGAGUAAUCCAUGCGGGAGAUCACUGCUAUUGUCAGCUUUGGUGGCAAGCAGUGGUUCAUUUGCACUACAAGCAUUGCGAACUCCAGCAUGAACCCAAAAAAUUUUGAGUUUCUUUUAAGUUCUAAUAGUAUGUCUAGAUUUCAGCUAUCACACAUGUCACCGGCCAUAACAUACCAAUUGAGCUCGUCGACCAGUUGCGCAACGCCGGCACUGCCAAGAACAAGGUGUAUGCCAUUCAUCACAUCUCUUGUUGUUGAACUGUCUAUUAUAAAAAUUAUGGGCAUGUUUUCUUGUGGGGUUCUUUUGCCUCAAUGGUAUUAUUCUUCUGGAAGCUAUGUUGCCAACUCUGAAUUUUUAUUUACUUCAGAAAUUUCAGAGUAAACACUGAAUUGCAACAUGGCACAAUUUAAUACCUCACAAACUUUGCAGAUUUUGUUUCAAUUUUGUAGUUCGGUUUGCUUGCUUGUGUAUAUGUGUGUGUAUACUGAGAGGCAGGGAAAUAUUAUUCUCUUCCAGCAGUUAUGUUUCUGUGACAUCUACUCCCCUCCACUCCAUUUUCUAUAGCCUGAAAUCUGAAUGUGAAAAGUAGAUGGAGGUGAUCAAGGGAAGCAGUCAUGAGCGAGGUGUUUGAGGGCUACGAGCGCCACUAAUGUGAGGUCUCAGACGCCUGCGCUCUUGUACUUGAUUCCAUUGUAUUUAUAUUGACACUUCUUUCCACUGCCUUACAUUUUGCCGUUAGGAAGUAAUUAUCAGCACUAGGCAUGCGAUUUUGACAGGUGGAGGCUUUAUUUUAGUGUAGGUGAACAUGUGAUUUGGGGAAGCUCUGUAGAUCCAGUUACAUUGCAGACUUGCCAGCUACACCAUCUAAAAAAUGGGCCUUGCCUUCAUAUGAAGCUUUCUUAGAUCAACUCUUCCAUUGAUCAAUUUUACAAGUAGGUGCACUGCGUUUGUAUACAACAAUCUGAAUGUGGGAGGUUUAACUAUUUUAUUAUAUUGUAAAAAAUGGAUCACGAUGAUUUCUUUUUCUGAAUCAUGAAUGGUGGGCUAGAGCCCCACCUGGAUCGCGUGUUUUGGAAUCCAAUAAUUAGAUAAAUGACCACCAUCCACAUUACCAACCAUCUCAGUGUUAUUUCCAGUUUCCUAAUUAAUGUAUGAAAAAGAGGAUCAAUCAAUUAUUGCUUUCUCCUGUUGCAACGCACGGGCAUGUUUGUUAGCUUGCUGCCUCCACCACUGGAACACCCCUUCGCCGGAGGUCAACCCUGGGUGUGCGUAUUGGGCACAACCCAAUGGAAAUUCCAGGGAAUCGUUUCAUUAAGGGAACCGUUCCAGGUUCAUUCAAAAAAUGGCACGACCUGAUUUACUUUCAGCAACCGUUUCGUUAAGGACAACAGAUUUGGACUCUGAGCUUUCCUCUGUGGCUGUUAAUAUCCCAGCAUGUCAGUUUCAGAUUUACCACUAGGUCACUUUCCCAUGCUGAGGAUUUGUCAUACCAAGAGGGUAAACGGAGAGACUUCCAGAGCAUGGUCAUGGUGUGGAUCUGAUUUUUGUUGGGUGGAUGAUAUUUGGGAUUAUUUUGUGUGCGUGCAGAUUGAUUAGAAUGUGCAUAUGGAGAUUAUUUAUAGCUCGAUCAAAGAGGUAAAAUUACCAAAUCCCGACUUGUCAGUCAUCCGAUAACUUUGUUGAUUGUCAGUUAUACAUUUGAUUCGUGAAUUUUGAAGGUUCUGAGCUUGAAACUCCGAAGUACAGAUAUGAUACUCUGUUUUUCUAAAAUAAAUGAUGAUUGUAGAUUUUAAAUUUUGCAUCAUGAAUGCAUCUGCCUAUUAUUAGUAACGGUUUUUUCCGCCUGUUAUUAGUAAUGGUGUUUUUCGUCAAAAGAUAAUAGUACUGUUGGGCUGAGUCUAACACUGGAGCAUCGAGGUUUGUCCUACAAUCUCGUACAAUAUUUGUUCAGUGCACUUCAUUGCGGUUCAGUGAAAAUGGGGUUGCUCUACAACCUAAUUACCUUUCUAUGUCAUCAGACUUUCUUUAUUCUGAACCAUCCUGCUGAUAGUAAAUGUAACCAUGUAACUCAUUUUCUAUGUGUGCCAAUAGGCAAGGUACACUUUCGCUCUGCCUCUGCCCAAGCUCGCUGCCGUCCCUGGUCGCGCGGCCGCCUAUGACCAAGUAACCUCUCUCUCCCGCGCGCCCCUGGAGCUCCUUAAUCUCCUGGUCUACCUUCUCUCUCAUCGACCUUUCUUUGUAUUUCAAUUGUAGGAUAAUUAGUGGAUGUUGAUAAGUGUACUAUUCAUGUUGUUGCUAACAUUUCUGACUAACUGGUCCUAAAUUUGUUCAGUGUGAUUGUUCAGAGGAGAAGAUAUUUGUACUAGAAGAUGAUGUAUAUUUUACUGAAUUUUUUCCAGAACAUAUGUUUUUUGUAGAUAGAAGAUGGAGUAUACU
This is a long non-coding RNA of Triticum aestivum (bread wheat), 3768 nucleotides long. RefSeq lists it as uncharacterized. NCBI's taxonomy places the organism in Eukaryota, Viridiplantae, Streptophyta, Magnoliopsida, Poales, Poaceae. The transcript has 3 exons. The record is from RefSeq and is a predicted model, not a curated record.